Molecule: ribosomal RNA, 1371 nt
Filed under: uncultured bacterium
Lineage: Bacteria
Description: bacterial SSU rRNA
Rfam family: Bacterial small subunit ribosomal RNA
Source: RNAcentral
GAUGAACGCUGGCGGCGUGCCUAAUACAUGCAAGUCGAGCGAACGGACGAGAAGCUUGCUUCUCUGAUGUUAGCGGCGGACGGGUGAGUAACACGUGGAUAACCUACCUAUAAGACUGGGAUAACUUCGGGAAACCGGAGCUAAUACCGGAUAAUAUUUUGAACCGCAUGGUUCAAAAGUGAAAGACGGUCUUGCUGUCACUUAUAGAUGGAUCCGCGCUGCAUUAGCUAGUUGGUAAGGUAACGGCUUACCAAGGCAACGAUGCAUAGCCGACCUGAGAGGGUGAUCGGCCACACUGGAACUGAGACACGGUCCAGACUCCUACGGGAGGCAGCAGUAGGGAAUCUUCCGCAAUGGGCGAAAGCCUGACGGAGCAACGCCGCGUGAGUGAUGAAGGUCUUCGGAUCGUAAAACUCUGUUAUUAGGGAAGAACAUAUGUGUAAGUAACUGUGCACAUCUUGACGGUACCUAAUCAGAAAGCCACGGCUAACUACGUGCCAGCAGCCGCGGUAAUACGUAGGUGGCAAGCGUUAUCCGGAAUUAUUGGGCGUAAAGCGCGCGUAGGCGGUUUUUUAGUCUGAUGUGAAAGCCCACGGCUCAACCGUGGAGGGUCAUUGGAAACUGGAAAACUUGAGUGCAGAAGAGGAAAGUGGAAUUCCAUGUGUAGCGGUGAAAUGCGCAGAGAUAUGGAGGAACACCAGUGGCGAAGGCGACUUUCUGGUCUGUAACUGACGCUGAUGUGCGAAAGCGUGGGGAUCAAACAGGAUUAGAUACCCUGGUAGUCCACGCCGUAAACGAUGAGUGUUAAGUGUUAGGGGGUUUCCGCCCCUUAGUGCUGCAGCUAACGCAUUAAGCACUCCGCCUGGGGAGUACGACCGCAAGGUUGAAACUCAAAGGAAUUGACGGGGACCCGCACAAGCGGUGGAGCAUGUGGUUUAAUUCGAAGCAACGCGAAGAACCUUACCAAAUCUUGACAUCCUUUGACAACUCUAGAGAUAGAGCCUUCCCCUUCGGGGGACAAAGUGACAGGUGGUGCAUGGUUGUCGUCAGCUCGUGUCGUGAGAUGUUGGGUUAAGUCCCGCAACGAGCGCAACCCUUAAGCUUAGUUGCCAUCAUUAAGUUGGGCACUCUAAGUUGACUGCCGGUGACAAACCGGAGGAAGGUGGGGAUGACGUCAAAUCAUCAUGCCCCUUAUGAUUUGGGCUACACACGUGCUACAAUGGACAACACAAAGGGCAGCGAAACCGCGAGGUCAAGCAAAUCCCAUAAAGUUGUUCUCAGUUCGGAUUGUAGUCUGCAACUCGACUACAUGAAGCUGGAAUCGCUAGUAAUCGUAGAUCAGCAUGCUACGGUGAAUACGUUCCCGGGUCU